GAUGAAGAACGUAGCGAAAUGCGAUAAGUAAUGUGAAUUGCAGAAUUCAGUGAAUCAUCGAAUCUUUGAACGCACAUUGCGCCCGCCAGUAUUCUGGCGGGCAUGCCUGUUCGAGCGUCAUUACAACCCUCAGGCCCCCGGGCCUGGCGUUGGGGAUCGGCGGAGCGCCCCCUGCGGGCACACGCCGUCCCCCAAAUACAGUGGCGGUCCCGCCGCAGCUUCCAUUGCGUAGUAGCUAACACCUCGCAACUGGAGAGCGGCGCGGCCACGCCGUAAAACACCCAACUUCUGAAUGUUGACCUCGAAACAGGUAGGAAUACCCGCUGAACUUAAGCAUAUCAAUAAGCGGAGGA
RNAcentral lists this unclassified non-coding RNA (353 nucleotides) under soil metagenome. Its description in RNAcentral is "partial contains 5.8S ribosomal RNA, internal transcribed spacer 2, and large subunit ribosomal RNA". The stretch from base 1 to 120 matches the Rfam family "5.8S ribosomal RNA", at positions 35 to 154 of the family's 154-position model. The record is from RNAcentral.